RNAcentral lists this small nuclear RNA (303 nucleotides) under Homo sapiens (human). RNAcentral describes it as "7SK RNA". It matches the Rfam family "7SK RNA", at positions 1 to 246 of the family's 331-position model. From Rfam's summary of the family: 7SK was discovered as an abundant small nuclear RNA in the mid-70s but a possible function has only recently been suggested. Two independent studies have found that 7SK RNA binds the CDK9/cyclin T complex (known as elongation factor P-TEFb). Lineage: Eukaryota; Metazoa; Chordata; Mammalia; Primates; Hominidae. The record is from Rfam by way of RNAcentral.
AGAUUUGAGGGUACUCUGACUGCAACAUCUUUCACCCCAUUGAUCGCCAGGAUUGAUUUGGUUGAUCUGGCUGAGCAGGCGGGUGUCCCCGUCCUCCCUCACUGCCCCAUAUGUGUCCCUCCUAAAGCUGCAUGCUCAGUUGAAGAGGACGAGAGGACGACCUUCUCUGAUAGAGGAGGACCACGCUUCAGUCAAAGGCAUACAAGUAUCUAUCUGGACUUCCCUGCUAGCACUUCCAAACAAGCUCAGAGAUGUUCCUCCCCUCAUCUGCCCGGGUUCAGUACCAUGGACAGCGCCCUCGAC